This is a non-coding RNA of Cricetulus griseus (Chinese hamster), 646 nucleotides long. NCBI's taxonomy places the organism in Eukaryota, Metazoa, Chordata, Mammalia, Rodentia, Cricetidae. The record is from RefSeq and is a predicted model, not a curated record.
UUCUCUAAAUUAAUUUGUUACGAUGACUUUCUUAUUGACUGUCUUUCUUCUAAUAAGUGUGAUUUUUUUUUUCAAGCUUGUUCGGUGGGUGGCACCCCUCAUCCCAGGAAGUGGUUCUUUGCAGUGCAAGCAAUAUGCGGAUUUUAUCAGUUUUGUAGUUCUGAUUGGCAAGAGAUACAUCUCGACACUGAAAAGGAUAAAGUAGAAGAUGUCCUUCAAGCAAACAUAGAAGAAUGUCAGAGGGCUGUUGAGUGUUUGGAAGAAGAUGACAGUAAUAGCAGGGAGUCCCUGUCCUUGGCUGACCUAUAUGAAGAAUCAGCAGAAAAUUUGCAUCAGUUAUCAGACAAACUUCCUGCCCCUGGUAAUACAAUAACUGUUUGUCCUCAUUUGUAUUUUCUCAUUUUUAUGAAUGAGUGUUGAAUUCAGUGUAUUCUGUAGAACAUUAAUCCUGUAAGUUCCAGGAAAAAUAGAUUUUUUUUUGACCUAGAUAGUUUCGAUAAUAUUCUUUUAUGGUGCAGUUGGCACAUACACCAACAAAUGGCACAUUGCACCGUAGAACAAAGCUCUUUCCUCAGCAUUUUUUUUUAUAGGAAUCAUUUUUUGUUCCUAAAAUGGGAAGCAUAUUUUAUGAAAUGCUAUAUGAUAG